GAUGAACGCUGGCGGCGUGCCUAAUACAUGCGAGUCGAGCGAACAGACGAGGAGCUUGCUCCUCUGACGUUAGCGGCGGACGGGUGAGUAACACGUGGAUAACCUACCUAUAAGACUGGGAUAACUUCGGGAAACCGGAGCUAAUACCGGAUAAUAUAUUGAACCGCAUGGUUCAAUAGUGAAAGACGGUUUUGCUGUCACUUAUAGAUGGAUCCGCGCCGCAUUAGCUAGUUGGUAAGGUAACGGCUUACCAAGGCAACGAUGCGUAGCUGACCUGAGAGGGUGAUCGGCCACACUGGAACUGAGACACGGUCCAGACUCCUACGGGAGGCAGCAGUAGGGAAUCUUCCGCAAUGGGCGAAAGCCUGACGGAGCAACGCCGCGUGAGUGAUGAAGGUCUUCGGAUCGUAAAACUCUGUUAUUAGGGAAGAACAAAUGUGUAAGUAACUAUGCACGUCUUGACGGUACCUAAUCAGAAAGCCACGGCUAACUACGUG
RNAcentral lists this ribosomal RNA (497 nucleotides) under uncultured bacterium. Its description in RNAcentral is "partial 16S ribosomal RNA". It matches the Rfam family "Bacterial small subunit ribosomal RNA", at positions 28 to 507 of the family's 1533-position model. The record is from RNAcentral.